AGAACAAUAAAGACUCUAGACACUGGUUUGUAUGGAUCAACCUUGCAUGCAUCACUUUCCCCACAUUUCCCUUUCCUGUGUGUGAAUUGUUUUAUUAAAGAGACCGAAUUUAUUUUUAACGGAUUGUACAGAAGGCCGGCCCGGAGGUCAAUUAACCUAAUGGAUCAGCUUCCACACGCCCGCUUUCCAAAAAGGAACCACUUUUUUUUCCCCUUCUGGUCAUAAAUCACUACGUUAAAGGUGCUUCUUGGUGGGGGUGGGUUAUUGUACAGCAGCCAGUUGUGUGCAUUGCAUUGGUUGAUGCAACGUUUCCCUGGGCAGAAAACAGCCACUGAGUGACUUUCAUACUCAUCAAUGGCAGAGAGACUCAGGGUAAGGGGGUGCGAUAGCAAAAUCUGAAAGCCAGCCGGUAAGAACAAUGCAAUUGUCCUUUACGCCGUGCGCUGGCUGCUAAAGGGGUACUAAACACACAACACAAUCAUACUGCAAUGCAACAACCACAGAGGAAAGAGACAACGGUCGAUUUCGCACCGGAGGGGAAAUGUAUUGCAUUGCACUCCGAGCUAGUUCAUAGGAAUAGCCCCGGUGCAGCAACAUCUCACGUGACGGCAGAAAAGUCCCAUUGCAACAGAGCAGCUGCAGCCCAAAUUCCCAGUGACCUCAGUGGGACAGAUGGAAGGAGUGCAGCACCCACAAUAAGAGGCACCUGAGGAAAAGGGGAUUGCUGUCCAAAGCCAUAUGCCCAAUGAAGGGGAAAGGGCUGCAACAUUUGCAGUGAGAUGGCUCCUGGGAAGAGGCAUAUGGCCCAUGUGGAGACAGACCUCACCCAGGAGUGGUCUACAGUGUCUGCAAAAGGGCCUCUUCUCGAUCCUAAUGAUUUGGAUCAUGAGGUUUAAGACCAAAUACCCCUUGGAAUAGAACAGCACAACAAGCACACACAAAAAUGCCUUGCUGGAACAGCAUUUCAGAGGAAUAGCUGCUUCUCCAAGACCCCAUCCUGGCCUGGCCUUACAAUCCCAUGGAGUUUGUGCAUCUUGUGCUUUAUGAGAUUACUGUUAUACAAGUGUCAGUUUGUGCUGUAUGAGACACAAAUAAAGCCAAGCUUUCCUCAUCA
This 1114-nucleotide long non-coding RNA is filed under the name Gopherus agassizii (Agassiz's desert tortoise). RNAcentral's name for it is "lncRNA (ENSGAGG00000022840.1)". The record is from RNAcentral. Lineage: Eukaryota; Metazoa; Chordata; Testudines; Testudinidae.